This 584-nucleotide long non-coding RNA is filed under the name Vitis vinifera (wine grape). RNAcentral's name for it is "long non-coding RNA (VVIN_LNC006890)". The record is from RNAcentral. Lineage: Eukaryota; Viridiplantae; Streptophyta; Magnoliopsida; Vitales; Vitaceae.
CAAACAAACAAACAAACAUAGUUUCCCCAUUCAAUCCAUUUGCAAAUUACAUAAAAAAACAUUAUGCACAUUUAACAUUGAAACAGUGAUGUCUUGAAACUGUUCCUGAAUCACUCAGCACACACCAUGAUUCAUAGAACCACACACAAUCAAAAUUAUUCACAGCAUCACCCCAUGGGCAUGGAAUAUGACUAAAAGGCAGACCCCAAAAAGAGUUUCUCCAUACUCUAAAUUCAAAUAAACAACAAAGGAUCGAUGGGAAAUGAAGAGGAAUGAUUAAUAUUUAAGGAUUGACACAAACACUACCCACCCUUCAUGUCAUUUGGUUGAAUGGUUCAGGCUGGGGUGGACGUCCAAACUAUGUCCUUGAGAGCCGGCCGGAGCUCCUUGUUGCAGAACUGGUCGUACUCCAGGCUAUCACCAUGGUGCUUCUUCACCUCCACCACCAGGAAAGACGGCGCCACUGCGAAUAUCUCCGCUCCUAUCGCUAAUUUCCCUUUUCUUCCUCUUUCCUGCCCCUGCAGCCUCACUAUCGUUUCGCUCUUCUUCACGCUGAAUUUCCCUGCCUUCGCUACCUCCUCCAG